RNAcentral lists this ribosomal RNA (497 nucleotides) under uncultured bacterium. RNAcentral's name for it is "partial 16S ribosomal RNA". It matches the Rfam family "Bacterial small subunit ribosomal RNA", at positions 28 to 507 of the family's 1533-position model. The record is from RNAcentral.
GAUGAACGCUGGCGGCGUGCCUAAUACAUGCAAGUCGAGCGAACAGACGAGGAGCUUGCUCCUCUGACGUUAGCGGCGGACGGGUGAGUAACACGUGGAUAACCUACCUAUAAGACUGGGAUAACUUCGGGAAACCGGAGCUAAUACCGGAUAAUAUAUUGAACCGCAUGGUUCAAUAGUGAAAGACGGUUUUGCUGUCACUUAUAGAUGGAUCCGCGCCGCAUUAGCUAGUUGGUAAGGUAACGGCUUACCAAGGCAACGAUGCGUAGCCGACCUGAGAGGGUGAUCGGCCACCCUGGAACUGAGACACGGUCAAGACUCCUACGGGAGGCAGCAGUAGGGAAUCUUCCGCAAUGGGCGAAAGCCUGACGGAGCAACGCCGCGUGAGUGAUGAAGGUCUUCGGAUCGUAAAACUCUGUUAUUAGGGAAGAACAAAUGUGUAAGUAAAUAUGCACGUCUUGACGGUACCUAAUCAGAAAGCCACGGCUAACUAAGUG